GACGAACGCUGGCGGCGUGCCUAAUACAUGCAAGUAGAACGCUGAAGGAGGAGCUUGCUUCUCUGGAUGAGUUGCGAACGGGUGAGUAACGCGUAGGUAACCUGCCUGGUAGCGGGGGAUAACUAUUGGAAACGAUAGCUAAUACCGCAUAAUAGUAGAUGUCGCAUGACAUUUGCUUAAAAGGUGCAAUUGCAUCACUACCAGAUGGACCUGCGUUGUAUUAGCUAGUUGGUGAGGUAACGGCUCACCAAGGCAACGAUACAUAGCCGACCUGAGAGGGUGAUCGGCCACACUGGGACUGAGACACGGCCCAGACUCCUACGGGAGGCAGCAGUAGGGAAUCUUCGGCAAUGGACGGAAGUCUGACCGAGCAACGCCGCGUGAGGGAAGAAGGUUUUCGGAUCGUAAAGCUCUGUUGUAAGAGAAGAACGAGUGUGAGAGUGGAAAGUUCACACUGUGACGGUAUCUUACCAGAAAGGGACGGCUAACUACGUG
This 495-nucleotide ribosomal RNA is filed under the name uncultured bacterium. RNAcentral describes it as "partial 16S ribosomal RNA". It matches the Rfam family "Bacterial small subunit ribosomal RNA", at positions 28 to 507 of the family's 1533-position model. The record is from RNAcentral.